This 468-nucleotide ribosomal RNA is filed under the name Triticum aestivum (bread wheat). RNAcentral's name for it is "partial small subunit ribosomal RNA". The record is from RNAcentral. Lineage: Eukaryota; Viridiplantae; Streptophyta; Magnoliopsida; Poales; Poaceae.
AUGAUUUGUCCUGGCUUUCAAAAGACAUCAUCGAGUAUAGCUCCGGGAAGUAUCAUUAAUCCAGUUUCAGAUAUCCGGGGCCGAAAAUCAUACAUUACAAUAAGAGUUUUCAAGGAUAAAUCUUCUGGUGACUGGCACGUCCAUUAUGGAUUAAACGGUGGUAUCAAACCAGUUGGCUAUUUUCCCAAAUCCUUGAUUCCAGGACUUAUUGAUAGGAAAGUUGAGAUUAGUUUUGGAGGCUAUGUGUCUCACCAAAAGCCACAACCGAGUCCUCCGAUGGGAAGUGGCUACGCUCCAGCCAGUGGCAAUGCUGCGUCCUUCAAAAAUAUCAAACUAAUUGAUGCCAAUGGCAAUGCUCAUCUUGUGAACACAAAUCUUCCAUUUCGUGUGGACCCCAAAAGAUGCUAUCCUAUAUCUUACAUUGAUUCAGCCAGGUUCUUUUACGGGGGAUCUGGAUGUGCUGAUUAA